Molecule: ribosomal RNA, 202 nt
Filed under: Tsukamurella pseudospumae
Lineage: Bacteria; Bacillati; Actinomycetota; Actinomycetes; Mycobacteriales; Tsukamurellaceae
Description: partial 23S ribosomal RNA
Rfam family: Bacterial large subunit ribosomal RNA
Source: RNAcentral
CAAAUCCGGAUCUCACAUAGCCUGAGAGGUGAUGCGUAGCCGUUGCGGUGAAUUCCAUGAUCCUAUGCUGCCGAGAAAAGCCUCUAGCGAGAUCUGAUGUGGCCCGUACCCCAAACCAACACAGGUGGUCAGGUAGAGAAUACCAAGGAGAUCGAGAGAACUGUGGUUAAGGAACUCGGCAAAAUGCCCCCGUAACUUCGGG